Molecule: long non-coding RNA, 581 nt
Organism: Oncorhynchus kisutch (coho salmon)
Lineage: Eukaryota; Metazoa; Chordata; Actinopteri; Salmoniformes; Salmonidae
Exons: 2
Source: RefSeq, a predicted model, not a curated record
CAUGACUGGAUAAAGUCAGGGAAAGUCUGUCUAUUUUACGUUGGAUGUUACGUCGAAAAUUGAAUGACACGAAAUUCAACAAGAUAAGCGUUCACAAAAGGUUUCGUGUUAGGCUAUAAAAAAUGUAUUUAACCGAACAAAAGACCAUUCAUUGUGUAACAAUGAGCCUUGGGAUUGCAACCAGAGCAAGAUCUUCAAAAGAAACAUGUAUGGAGCCAGUACAUGGAGACUUGCAAGAUGAUGUGAUGAAGUCCAGACUGACAGACAGCUUGAUACUGAUGUCUUUGAAUGGAGAGAGACCUGGCACUCUGUAAAUCUUUUAAAAAAUUGUAUCAAGCACGGAGGGUCUUGCCUUCAUGUGUUGUUUGUGCUAUUCAACGCAAAUAUCCCUUGCCGACAGGAAUCUACGUGGGAUUCAAAGAGGCAGAUGAUGUGAUUGGCCUAUAGUAAUUACACUACGAUGACUCAGCUUGUCAGCCAGACAUUGCCUAAACAACACAUUUUGUUAAAUCACUCCAAUAAACCAGUACAUUCUAUUUUCUUACAAUCACAGUAAUAAAUGACAUUAUUUGAACCAGUAA